UGGGGAAUAUUGGACAAUGGGCGGAAGCCUGAUCCAGCCAUGCCGCGUGGAUGAUGAAGGCCUUAGGGUUGUAAAAUCCUUUCGUUGGGGACGAUAAUGACGGUACCCAAAGAAGAAGCUCCGGCUAACUUCGUGCCAGCAGCCGCGGUAAUACGAAGGGGGCUAGCGUUGUUCGGAUUUACUGGGCGUAAAGCGCGUGUAGGCGGAUUUGUAAGUUGGGGGUGAAAUCCCGAGGCUCAACCUCGGAACUGCCUCCAAAACUACAAGUCUGGACCUAAGUAGAGGCAAGUGGAAUUGCGAGUGUAGAGGUGAAAUUCGUAGAUAUUCGCAGGAACACCAGUGGCGAAGGCGACUUGCUGGACUUAUGGUGACGCUGAGACGCGAAAGCGUGGGGAGCAAACAGGAUUAGAUACCCAUGUAGUCCCUGAGCGGGCUGGCAAGGCGCAU
This 447-nucleotide ribosomal RNA is filed under the name uncultured bacterium. RNAcentral's name for it is "bacterial SSU rRNA". It matches the Rfam family "Bacterial small subunit ribosomal RNA", at positions 355 to 825 of the family's 1533-position model. The record is from RNAcentral.